RNAcentral lists this ribosomal RNA (468 nucleotides) under uncultured bacterium. Its description in RNAcentral is "partial 16S ribosomal RNA". It matches the Rfam family "Bacterial small subunit ribosomal RNA", at positions 28 to 507 of the family's 1533-position model. The record is from RNAcentral.
GACGAACGCUGGCGGCGUGCUUAACACAUGCAAGUCGAACGGAAAGGCCCUGCUUUUGUGGGGUGCUCGAGUGGCGAACGGGUGAGUAACGCGUGAGUAACCUGCCCUUGACUUUGGGAUAACUUCAGGAAGCUGGGGCUAAUACCGGAUAGGAGCUCCUGCUGCAUGGUGGGGGUUGGAAAGUUUCGGCGGUUGGGGAUGGACUCGCGGCUUAUCAGCUUGUUGGUGGGGUAGUGGCUUACCAAGGCUUUGACGGGUAGCCGGCCUGAGAGGGUGACCGGCCACAUUGGGACUGAGAUACGGCCCAGACUCCUACGGGAGGCAGCAGUGGGGAAUAUUGCACAAUGGGCGGAAGCCUGAUGCAGCAACGCCGCGUGCGGGAUGACGGCCUUCGGGUUGUAAACCGCUUUCGCCUGUGACGAAGCGUGAGUGACGGUAAUGGGUAAAGAAGCACCGGCUAACUACGUG